Molecule: unclassified non-coding RNA, 347 nt
Filed under: soil metagenome
Description: partial contains 5.8S ribosomal RNA, internal transcribed spacer 2, and large subunit ribosomal RNA
Rfam family: 5.8S ribosomal RNA (bases 1-120)
Source: RNAcentral
GAUGAAGAACGUAGCAAAAUGCGAUAAGUAAUGUGAAUUGCAGAAUUCAGUGAAUCAUCGAAUCUUUGAACGCACAUUGCGCCCGCUGGUAUUCCGGCGGGCAUGCCUGUUCGAGCGUCAUUUCAACCCUCAAGCCCCCGGGUUUGGUGUUGGGGAUCGGCUCUGCCCUUCUGGGCGGUGCCGCCCCCGAAAUACAUUGGCGGUCUCGCUGCAGCCUCCAUUGCGUAGUAGCUAACACCUCGCAACUGGAACGCGGCGCGGCAUGCCGUAAAACCCCAACUUCUGAAUGUUGACCUCGGAUCAGGUAGGAAUACCCGCUGAACUUAAGCAUAUCAAUAAGCGGAGGA